Molecule: ribosomal RNA, 450 nt
Filed under: uncultured Glomus
Lineage: Eukaryota; Fungi; Glomeromycota; Glomeromycetes; Glomerales; Glomeraceae
Description: SSU rRNA
Rfam family: Eukaryotic small subunit ribosomal RNA
Source: RNAcentral
AGCAGCCGCGGUAAUUCCAGCUCCAAUAGCGUAUAUUAAAGUUGUUGCAGUUAAAAAGCUCGUAGUUGAAUUUCGGGAUUAGUACGCUGGUCGUGCCUCUGGUAUGUACUGGUGCUACUGAUUCCUACCUUCUGACGAACCGUCAUGUCAUUAAUUUGGUGUGGCGGGGAAUCAGGACUGUUACUUUGAAAAAUUAGAGUGUUUAAAGCAGGCUCGCGCUUGAAUACAUUAGCAUGGAAUAAUGAAAUAGGACGUUCGAUCCUAUUUUGUUGGUUUCUAGGAUUGACGUAAUGAUUAAUAGGGAUAGUUGGGGGCAUUAGUAUUCAAUUGUCAGAGGUGAAAUUCUUGGAUUUAUUGAAGACUAACUACUGCGAAAGCAUUUGCCAAGGAUGUUUUCAUUAAUCAAGAACGAAAGUUAGGGGAUCGAAGACGAUCAGAUACCGUCGUAGU